Molecule: ribosomal RNA, 221 nt
Filed under: uncultured bacterium
Lineage: Bacteria
Description: partial 16S ribosomal RNA
Rfam family: Bacterial small subunit ribosomal RNA
Source: RNAcentral
CGGGGUGAGUAACGCGUAGGAACCUGACACCGAGUGGGGGAUAACGCUGGGAAACCGGCGCUAAUACCGCAUGAGAUCUGGCGACAGAGGAAAGCAGCAAUGCGCUGGGUGAGGGGCCUGCGUCCGAUUAGCUAGUUGGUGGGGUAAAGGCCUACCAAGGCACCGAUCGGUAGCUGGUCUGAGAGGAUGAUCAGCCACACUGGGACUGAGAUACGGCCCAG